Non-coding RNA from Benincasa hispida (wax gourd), 1258 nucleotides. The record is from RefSeq and is a predicted model, not a curated record. Lineage: Eukaryota; Viridiplantae; Streptophyta; Magnoliopsida; Cucurbitales; Cucurbitaceae.
GUCUGAGAUCCCACCAUUGACCAUAUUACUUCUUUCUUGGCCCACGACCAGCCUAGAGUCCAUCCUGGUGAAUUGAUAUGGCGGUACAUCUGAAAAUUGUUCAUUGUCACAACAGCCUGUUACAAUUAAAAAAGAUCUAAGGGGAUGGAUGAAAAAGGUGCUGCAUGAUUUACUAAACAUGUAUCGGUUUCAGAUGAAUUUAUAAGGUGCCAAGUAAUGGAAAUGAAUCAUGUUUCACAAUCUUACGACAUAUCCAUCCGGCGUCCAAGAGACUACAUCCCAUUUGAUUGUUAUGUUUCCAUUUGGAUCCAAUGGAUCGUAUGCCCCUGACGAAGAUCAACAGAAGCAAUAACAAAUUCAUAAGCUACAACACACCAAUAACAAGACUAAGAAAAUGGAAGAUCUUUCUUCUAGCAGUAAACAAGUACGUACCAGUUGAACAGAAAGCUGUGAAGAUCAGAAGUGCUAAGAGUACAAUCUUUGGCUGUCGAGGCAAGUAACAUUCCCAUUGAAAGAGAAUUUUGUGUAAUGGAUCAUUGUAGGUAUUAAAUUCCAUGGCUUGAAAGCUUUUGGAGAAUCAAAAGCUUCAACUAACUUAAAACUCAGAGGAUUCAACUGUUCUUUGCUGCUGGCAUGGAGUUGGAGAAAUUGAGAAAUGAAGAGACCAAUAUAGUUCAAGAGAAUGCAAGAAGAUGUCUCACCUCUCACCUACUGUAUUUCUGGAUCUUGAAGCAAAGAUUUAGAGAGGAAUGAUGCAAAAGUGGUGAGAAGACUUUUCAACUGUCAGUGUUCUCACACCAGAGGCAGGACCUGAUUUCAACUGCUUCAAAAUCAAGUUUUCCUCCCAUUGAACUGCACUGAAUCAGAUCAUCUUUUUGGAAUAUGAAGCUUGAGUAUCAUUUCCAUUACUCUGUUUGGAAUAUGAACAGACAAGUAUCAUCCUCUAGGUUAGGAAGGACUAAGGAGACAUACUUUGGGAACAGUAUUUUUAAAUGAGAUAUCUUAUACAUCAAUUUUAUAUUUUUUUUAAAAAAAACAUUAACUAUUGAUUUUUUCAAGGUUUUAAAUAUAUUUAUGAAAUUUUUGAAUAGUUGUUUUUAGGUUUAAAUACUACUUUGAUCAUGUCAUAUUCAUUUUGAUCAAUUUUAUUUUAACUUUUGUUUAUUUUAGUUCAUGUACUUUUAUAAUAUUCAUGUUGGUCAUUGUAAUUUAAAGAGUGAUCAUUUUGAUUCAUUUAUUUUCAUUUCAUUAUAUUUCA